This is a long non-coding RNA of Neogale vison (American mink), 268 nucleotides long. RefSeq lists it as uncharacterized. The record is from RefSeq and is a predicted model, not a curated record. The transcript has 3 exons. NCBI's taxonomy places the organism in Eukaryota, Metazoa, Chordata, Mammalia, Carnivora, Mustelidae.
GGGGUACACCUGAAACUGCUGUAAAAUAACUCGCAUCUCUCUUUGUCCUCUUUCCUGACCUCGAUCCUUGAGAGUGGCCUGCACAGCAAGUUCAUUCACACCUCCUCUUCCAGUUACUCUCAUCUCACGUUAUAAGUUUAAAGCUAAGAGCUUCCUCUAUGGAUUAUCUCAACACUCAUCUCUAGGAAAGAGAAGCAAUACCCAACAAACAGCUGAAACGUACAGGUACCUGUCAUUACUUCUGUGAGAACCGUGGAAUCAAAUUUCC